Molecule: long non-coding RNA, 227 nt
Filed under: Vigna radiata
Lineage: Eukaryota; Viridiplantae; Streptophyta; Magnoliopsida; Fabales; Fabaceae
Description: long non-coding RNA (VRAD_LNC003752)
Source: RNAcentral
GGAAAUUGCGUUAGAAUAUCAUGGAGAAUAUAAGACUUCAAUCUCUUUCGUGAAUAAAAAAAAUGAAAGCAUAUAUGGUAGCCGGUGCUUGAAUGUAUGAUUAUACAAUCCAAUCCAAUAAUCAAAAGACAUCUGGGAAAGAACAAAAAAUGGUUGUUGCAAAGAGGCAAGGACGGUCAUCUCCUUGGUCGAUAUCGACAGAUUUGGUCAAACAGAGGGAGAAGGUG